CCCUUAGAUGUUCUGGGCGGCCCGCGCACUACAAUGGCGUGUGCAGCGAGUGCCGAAGUAGAGUUUUCCGAGGUAUUCUUGCAAUGCUCGUUUUGAUGGGGAUAGACCCUUGCAACUGUUGGUUUUGAACGAGGAAUACCUUGUAAGCGCGGGUCAUCAUCCCGCGCUGAAUACGUCCCUGCCCUUUGUACACACCGCCCGUCGCUCCUACCGAUUGAGUGGUCCGGUGAGGCUUUGGGAUCUGAGCGGAAAGAGCGUUUCGCUGUUUCUGCUCGGAAAACUCAGUCGAACCUUAUCAUUUAGAGGAAGGAGAAGUCGUAACA
This 323-nucleotide ribosomal RNA is filed under the name uncultured eukaryote. Its description in RNAcentral is "partial 18S ribosomal RNA". It matches the Rfam family "Eukaryotic small subunit ribosomal RNA", at positions 1470 to 1796 of the family's 1831-position model. The record is from RNAcentral.